This 499-nucleotide ribosomal RNA is filed under the name Enterococcus casseliflavus. RNAcentral describes it as "bacterial SSU rRNA". It matches the Rfam family "Bacterial small subunit ribosomal RNA", at positions 153 to 639 of the family's 1533-position model. Lineage: Bacteria; Bacillati; Bacillota; Bacilli; Lactobacillales; Enterococcaceae. The record is from RNAcentral.
GAAACAGGUGCUAAUACCGUAUAACACUAUUUUCCGCAUGGAAGAAAGUUGAAAGGCGCUUUUGCGUCACUGAUGGAUGGACCCGCGGUGCAUUAGCUAGUUGGUGAGGUAACGGCUCACCAAGGCAACGAUGCAUAGCCGACCUGAGAGGGUGAUCGGCCACACUGGGACUGAGACACGGCCCAGACUCCUACGGGAGGCAGCAGUAGGGAAUCUUCGGCAAUGGACGAAAGUCUGACCGAGCAACGCCGCGUGAGUGAAGAAGGUUUUCGGAUCGUAAAACUCUGUUGUUAGAGAAGAACAAGGAUGAGAGUAGAACGUUCAUCCCUUGACGGUAUCUAACCAGAAAGCCACGGCUAACUACGUGCCAGCAGCCGCGGUAAUACGUAGGUGGCAAGCGUUGUCCGGAUUUAUUGGGCGUAAAGCGAGCGCAGGCGGUUUCUUAAGUCUGAUGUGAAAGCCCCCGGCUCAACCGGGGAGGGUCAUUGGAAACUGGGAG